This 209-nucleotide long non-coding RNA is filed under the name Mytilus galloprovincialis (Mediterranean mussel). Lineage: Eukaryota; Metazoa; Mollusca; Bivalvia; Mytilida; Mytilidae. The record is from RNAcentral.
UAUAUGGUGAGAUGUAUAGAUAUAUAGAUCGAUAAUGAUUGCAGGUACAUGUACAUUUGUACAAGGAUAGAUAAUAUUUAUAAAGGUUGAUGUUAAUAACUUAUAGUGGGAGUUUUUUUUCUCAUUUGCUUUUUCCCCGACAAAUGAGACUGUAAAAAUUGGGGCCCCCUUAGUUGCUUCCCUGGGCAACUGAGGGUUGAUGUAACAGG